Molecule: long non-coding RNA, 1150 nt
Filed under: Oryzias sinensis (Chinese medaka)
Lineage: Eukaryota; Metazoa; Chordata; Actinopteri; Beloniformes; Adrianichthyidae
Description: lncRNA (ENSOSIG00000004261.1)
Source: RNAcentral
UCUCCUUCUUUUAGUGUUCGUGCAUCAAUAUCCCCCCUGGCCAUGGCAGAUGUCGGCUGAAUCCGGUCAAAAGGUCCCAUUUGCUUGUGCUGAUGUUUUCACGGUACAUGUACUCUCCACACUUCCUUUAAUGAUGGAAAGCUUGACUCAACUUCAACCUCAAAUCCACAGGACAGGCCACUCACUGGCUAUGAAACGCAAAAUACUGAUGUUUUGGUUUUCAGUUUUCGUGGAUGUUCGGACCUGACCACUUCUAACAGGAGCAAAGUGCCACAGAGGAAAGUGAGGUGUUUUUUUUUUAAUUCUAAAUGGAUUGUAUUUCUAAAUAUUGUAUUUUUGAAUGCUGUGUGGUCUUCCCAUGUCACUGUAGAUCUUUGAUGAACACUUGUUUGAAGACUUGUUUGUUUAUCUAUUAAGUAAAGAAUGAGGCACACAUUUUACAGAGUAUUAAUCAAAAAUUGUGUGUGUGUAAUUAUACCUAACUUGUGAUGAUAUUCAGAGUUACUCAGUAUUUUAUAGUGGGAUUAUUUUAGGACACUUAAAACCAAUUAUGAUCUAAAAAAAACAAAAGAAUGAUAAAUGAGCAUCACAUAUAAUUAAUUUGGUUUGAGUAAAUAAAAACAAAAGAGUACAACGUGAUGGAUCUGUGAUUCUCCAUAAAUUAUGUUGGCCUUUAUUUUUUAAUCAAUUUGUAUUUUCUAUUCGUUGCUGAAAAUUUCUUUCAUUCUGGACUAGAUUUACAAUAUCUAAAUAUGGUAACUUAUUUUUUUUUUUCAUUUGAUUCUUGUGUAACACUUCAGAGGACAUGUCCUAGCCACUUCUACAUACACAAGUAUUUAGUUCUCAAAUAAUAGCCUGAAUGGAUAUGUGUACCAACAUGGUUAAAAAAAAAAAACUACUGUCUUCUGGAGUUAGUAAGAUGCAUUUUGUUACUUUUAGGUUUGCUUUUAGUGAAACUGGCCUAAAACUGCAGCAUCUUGUUUGACUGGUUCUUUUUUUAAUCAGACCAACUUGACAAGUUGUUGAGCUGAACAAACCGCAGCUGCAUCCGAAUCUAGAGAGUGAAUGUGAAGGGCAGCUUGAGACAACGAGCUACAAUGAGCUCAACUCAAGUAAAACCCAACUGUGCCAAGCGAGAAGAUUUGAAAAA